GAUGAACGCUGGCGGCGUGCCUAAUACAUGCAAGUCGAGCGAACGGACGAGAAGCUUGCUUCUCUGAUGUUAGCGGCGGACGGGUGAGUAACACGUGGAUAACCUACCUAUAAGACUGGGAUAACUUCGGGAAACCGGAGCUAAUACCGGAUAAUAUUUUGAACAGCAUGGUUCAAAAGUGAAAGACGGUCUUGCUGUCACUUAUAGAUGGAUCCGCGCUGCAUUAGCUAGUUGGUAAGGUAACGGCUUACCAAGGCAACGAUGCAUAGCCGACCUGAGAGGGUGAUCGGCCACACUGGAACUGAGACACGGUCCAGACUCCUACGGGAGGCUGCAGUAGGGAAUCUUCCGCAAUGGGCGAAAGCCUGACGGAGCAACGCCGCGUGAGUGAUGAAGGUCUUCGGAUCGUAAAACUCUGUUAUUAGGGAAGAACAUAUGUGUAAGUAACUGUGCACAUCUUGACGGUACCUAAUCAGAAAGCCACGGCUAACUACGUG
This 497-nucleotide ribosomal RNA is filed under the name uncultured bacterium. Its description in RNAcentral is "partial 16S ribosomal RNA". It matches the Rfam family "Bacterial small subunit ribosomal RNA", at positions 28 to 507 of the family's 1533-position model. The record is from RNAcentral.